This is a long non-coding RNA of Gallus gallus (chicken), 615 nucleotides long. The record is from Ensembl. NCBI's taxonomy places the organism in Eukaryota, Metazoa, Chordata, Aves, Galliformes, Phasianidae.
CAUGCCUUUAACAGUCUGAGUUUAAACCAGGGCAUGGAGAUGGUGCUGUGCUGUGGUUGGCUCAAGUUAUGGCAAGAAGGAUUUCUCAACCAUUCCUGGAAGAGUCCAGAAUAACGCCCAAGAAACAGACAAGUCAUGGGAGUGGACCUGUAUUCAGUAUCUGAACCAAGAUUUGGCUGGUGUCUGGUGUCUCAAUCAGUCCUGGAACUGGAGCCAAGUCUGGCUUCAUCUAGGACUGAUGUUGAUGGUAAUUACUUAUUACCUGAAGGCCCUGGCAGAUAUGAGAUCCCAUUCUCCUUACUUUCUGAUUAGCUCACAGCUUUCUGUGAGUGAGAGGUUGUACAACACUGGAGGCAACAACUAUAGUCCUUUAUUCCACUGCAAAGGUGUCAGUCAUCUGCAUGAUUCAAAUACACGCUGUGAACAAGUGCUACUGGAGAACCCUGUCAGAUGAGACUAUGCUGAAGCUGACUGUAGAUAUGUGUCUUCUUUGGAAUACCUGCUGGCUCAGAGUACAGAUGGCUCUACCCGCUCUGCCUGUCCCAGUCUCCCCUCCUGCCCAGGACCCCAGGAUCCUAGGUCAGUCCCAGGGCUGCAGGGCCCACCUCAAGCGGG